GAUAUGAACUCUCCGAAAAAAUUACGCUGUUAUCCCUAAGGUAAGUUAAUCUUAUAAUCAAAAGUUUUGGAUCAAAAAAACAUAAAUUAAUGAAAAAAAUAUUAAAAGUUAAAUAAAUUUCAAUGUCACCCCAACAAAACUUUAUAUUCUAAAAAAUUAUUUAAUUAACAAAAAAUAAAAAUUAAUAAAUAAAGUUAACUUCUAUAGGGUCUUCUCGUCCUAUAAAUAAAUUUUAGCUUUUUAACUAAAAAAUUAAAUUCAAAACAAUUAAAAAAAGAAAGUUUAUUUUUCAUCAAACCAUUCAUACUAGCCUUCAAUUAAAAGACAAAUGAUUAUGCUACCUUCGUACAGUUAAAAUACCGCAGCCUUUUAAUUCAAAAAAAUCAAUGGGCAGGCCUGAUCUUAAAUUAAAAUCAAAAGAAC
This 423-nucleotide ribosomal RNA is filed under the name Gerris yezoensis. Its description in RNAcentral is "partial 16S ribosomal RNA". The record is from RNAcentral. Lineage: Eukaryota; Metazoa; Arthropoda; Insecta; Hemiptera; Gerridae.